ACGUGCUGGCACAUAGAACGAGGGUUGCGCUCGUUGCGGGACUUAACCCAACAUCUCACGACACGAGCUGACGACAACCAUGCACCACCUGUAUACCAACCUUGAGGGACUUCUAUCUCUCUGCGUUUCCGGUAUAUGUGAAGCCUUGUGAAGGUGCUCCUCGUUGCUUCUAAUUAUUCCCCAUGCGCUUCGCCUGGUGCGGGCCCCCCCCANU
Molecule: ribosomal RNA, 214 nt
Filed under: uncultured Actinomycetes bacterium
Lineage: Bacteria; Bacillati; Actinomycetota; Actinomycetes
Description: uncultured actinobacterium partial 16S ribosomal RNA
Source: RNAcentral